AGAGUUUGAUCCUGGCUCAGAACGAACGCUGGCGGUAUGCUUAACACAUGCAAGUUGAACGAGAAAGUUUCUUCGGAAAUGAGUAAAGUAGCAAACGGGUGAGUAAUGUAUAGGAAUCUACCCUAUAGUGAGGAAUAAGUACUGGAAACGGUAUCUAAUACCACAUACUACCGAUUUAUCGGGAAAGGGCAAUUCUUCGGGAUUGUCUGCUAAAGGAUGAGCUUAUAUCGGAUUAGCUAGUUGGUAGGGUAAAGGCCUACCAAGGCGAAGAUCCGUAGCUGGUCUGAGAGGGUGAUCAGCCACACUGGGACUGCGACACGGCCCAGACUCCUACGGGAGGCAGCAGUGGGGAAUAUUGGACAAUGGGCGAAAGCCUGAUCCAGCAAUACCGCGUGAAUGAUGAAGGUCUUAGGAUUGUAAAGUUCCUUCAGUAGGGAAGAUAAUGACGGUACCUACAGAAGAAGCACCGGCUAACUUCGUGCCAGCAGCCGCGGUAAUACGAAGGGUGCUAGCGUUGUUCGGAUUUAUUGGGCGUAAAGGGUAUGUAGGCGGUUUUAUAAGUUAGUUGUGAAAGCCCGGGGCUCAACCCCGGAACUGCUGCUAAAACUGUAUGACUAGAGUAUGAUAGAGGAUGGCAGAACUUCUAGUGUAGGGGUGAAAUCCGUAGAUAUUAGAAGGAAUACCAGUAGCGAAAGCGGCUAUCUUAGUCAUUACUGACGCUGAGAUACGAAGGCGUGGGGAGCAAACAGGAUUAGAUACCCUGGUAGUCCACGCAGUAAACGAUGAUAACUAAGUGUUUGGAUUUAUUCUGGGCGCUACAGCUAACGCGUUAAGUUAUCCGCCUGGGGAUUACGGUCGCAAGACUAAAACUCAAAGGAAUUGACGGGGACCCGCACAAGCGGUGGAACAUGUGGUUUAAUUCGAUAGUCCGCGAAAAACCUUACCAGUCCUUGACAUCCCAAUCGUAGUUAUCAGAGAUGAUUUCGUCAGUUCGGCUGGAUUGGAGACAGGUGAUGCAUGGCCGUCGUCAGCUCGUGCCGCGAGGUGUUAGGUUAAGUCCUUUAACGAGCGCAGCCCCCAUCUUUAUUUGCCAGCGAGUAAUGUCGGGAACUAUAAAGAAACUGCCAGUGAUGAAUUGGAGGAAGGUGGGGAUGAAGUCAGGUCAUCAUGUCCCUUAUGGACUGGGCUACACACAUGUUACAAUGGGAGCUACAAUUAGAUAUGAAGGAGAAAUCCGGAGUAAAUCUGUUAAAAGCUCUCUCAGUUCGGAUUGCAGGCUGCAACUCGCCUGCAUGAAGUUGGAAUCGCUAGUAAUCGUAGAUCAGCACGCUACGGUGAAUACGUUCUCGGGUCUUGUACACACUGCCCGUCAAGUCAUGGGAAUUCUUUUUACUUUAAUUAUGUGAGCUAACUUGCAAAAGAGGCAGCAUAACACGGUAGGGGGAGUGACU
Molecule: ribosomal RNA, 1451 nt
Filed under: metagenome
Description: bacterial SSU rRNA
Rfam family: Bacterial small subunit ribosomal RNA
Source: RNAcentral